CUUUACUGUAACUUUGCAUUGGACUUUGACGGGACUUGUGUAGGAUAGGUGGGAGGCAUUGAGACCGGGACGCUAGUUCCGGUGGAGCCAACCUUGAAAUACCACCCUGGUGUCGUUGAGGUUCUAACCCAGGUCUGUGAAUCCAGAUCGGGGACCGUGCAUGGUGGGCAGUUUGACUGGGGCGGUCUCCUCCCAAAAGGUAACGGAGGAGUACGAAGGUCUUCUAGGUACGGUCGGACAUCGUACUGAUAGUGCAAUGGCAAAAGAAGGCUUGACUGCGAGACCGACAAGUCGAGCAGGUGCGAAAGCAGGUCAUAGUGAUCCGGUGGUUCUGUAUGGAAGGGCCAUCGCUCAACGGAUAAAAGGUA
This 368-nucleotide ribosomal RNA is filed under the name uncultured organism. Its description in RNAcentral is "bacterial LSU rRNA". It matches the Rfam family "Bacterial large subunit ribosomal RNA", at positions 2099 to 2465 of the family's 2925-position model. The record is from RNAcentral.